CCUACGGGAGGCAGCAGUAAGGAAUAUUGGUCAAUGGACGAAAGUCUGAACCAGCCAUGCCGCGUGAAGGAUUAAGGCCCUCUGGGUUGUAAACUUCUUUUAUCUGGGACGAAAAAAGGGUAGUCUUACUCACUUGACGGUACCAGAGGAAUAAGCACCGGCUAACUCCGUGCCAGCAGCCGCGGUAAUACGGAGGGUGCAAGCGUUAUCCGGAUUUACUGGGUUUAAAGGGUGCGUAGGUGGGCUUGUAAGUCAGUGGUGAAAUCUCCGGGCUUAACCCGGAAACUGCCAUUGAUACUAUAGGUCUUGAAUUAUCUGGAGGUAAGCGGAAUAUGUCAUGUAGCGGUGAAAUGCUUAGAUAUGACAUAGAACACCAAUUGCGAAGGCAGCUUACUACGGAUACAUUGACACUGAGGCACGAAAGCGUGGGGAUCAAACAGGAUUAGAUACCCUGUAGUCCACGCCCUAAACGAUGGAUACUCGACAUCAGCGAUACACUGUUGGUGUCUGAGNGAGANAUAGUAUCCACCGNGGAGAGAGCGCGAAGUAGUAGUUAACUUACUAAGUUAGUUAAGUAGACGGCGNGAGAGNGCGACGGACGACGACGAGGGAGGAGG
This 617-nucleotide ribosomal RNA is filed under the name uncultured bacterium. Its description in RNAcentral is "bacterial SSU rRNA". The stretch from base 1 to 530 matches the Rfam family "Bacterial small subunit ribosomal RNA", at positions 338 to 873 of the family's 1533-position model. The record is from RNAcentral.